This 73-nucleotide transfer RNA is filed under the name Trichonephila clavata. It matches the Rfam family "tRNA". Rfam says of the family: Transfer RNA (tRNA) molecules are approximately 80 nucleotides in length. Their secondary structure includes four short double-helical elements and three loops (D, anti-codon, and T loops). Further hydrogen bonds mediate the characteristic L-shaped molecular structure. tRNAs have two regions of fundamental functional importance: the anti-codon, which is responsible for specific mRNA codon recognition, and the 3' end, to which the tRNAs corresponding amino acid is attached (by aminoacyl-tRNA synthetases). tRNAs cope with the degeneracy of the genetic code in two manners: having more than one tRNA (with a specific anti-codon) for a particular amino acid; and 'wobble' base-pairing, i.e. permitting non-standard base-pairing at the 3rd anti-codon position. Lineage: Eukaryota; Metazoa; Arthropoda; Arachnida; Araneae; Nephilidae. The record is from Rfam by way of RNAcentral.
AUCCUUGUAGUGCAAUACAUAGCACGUUGGACUUCUAAUCCAAAGAUCGUGGGUUCGAAUCCCACCUGGGAUG